GAUGAAGAACGUAGCGAAAUGCGAUAAGUAGUGUGAAUUGCAGAAUUCAGUGAAUCAUCGAAUCUUUGAACGCACAUUGCGGCCAUAGGUAUUCCUUUGGCCAUGCCUGUUCGAGCGUCAUUUACACCCUCAAGCCUAGCUUGGUGUUGGGCGCCUGUCCCGCUGUUUUCGCGCGCGGACUCGCCUCAAAGUCAUUGGCGGCGGUCGUGCCGGCCCCCUCGCGCAGCACAUUUGCGCUUCUCGGAGGCCCGGCGGAUCCGCGCUCCAGCAAGACCUUUCACGACUUGACCUCGGAUUAGGUAGGGAUACCCGCUGAACUUAAGCAUAUCAAUAAGCGGAGGA
This 342-nucleotide unclassified non-coding RNA is filed under the name soil metagenome. RNAcentral describes it as "partial contains 5.8S ribosomal RNA, internal transcribed spacer 2, and large subunit ribosomal RNA". The stretch from base 1 to 120 matches the Rfam family "5.8S ribosomal RNA", at positions 35 to 154 of the family's 154-position model. The record is from RNAcentral.